CGUGUAGGCGGGUAUGCAAGUUUGGCGUGAAAGCUCCCGGCUAAACUGGGAGAGUGCGCUGAAGACUGCGUAUCUAGAGGCGAGUAGAGGGACGUGGAAUUCCGGGUGUAGUGGUGAAAUGCGUAGAGAUCCGGAGGAACACCAGUGGCGAAGGCGACGUCCUGGGCUUGACCUGACGCUGAGACGCGACAGCACGGGGAGCGAACGGGAUUAGAAACCCCGGUAGUCCGUGCCGUAAACGAUGCACACUAGGUGUUCGGGCAACUACGGUUGCUUGAGUGCCGCAGCCAACGCGAUAAGUGUGCCGCCUGGGGAGUACGGUCGCAAGGCUAAA
Molecule: ribosomal RNA, 334 nt
Filed under: uncultured bacterium
Lineage: Bacteria
Description: bacterial SSU rRNA
Rfam family: Bacterial small subunit ribosomal RNA
Source: RNAcentral